This 20-nucleotide small nuclear RNA is filed under the name Arabidopsis thaliana (thale cress). RNAcentral describes it as "snRNA_15525". The record is from RNAcentral. Lineage: Eukaryota; Viridiplantae; Streptophyta; Magnoliopsida; Brassicales; Brassicaceae.
GGAGACAAGCAAGCCCUAAA